RNAcentral lists this ribosomal RNA (497 nucleotides) under uncultured bacterium. RNAcentral describes it as "partial 16S ribosomal RNA". It matches the Rfam family "Bacterial small subunit ribosomal RNA", at positions 28 to 507 of the family's 1533-position model. The record is from RNAcentral.
GAUGAACGCUGGCGGCGUGCCUAAUACAUGCAAGUCGAGCGAACAGACGAGGAGCUUGCUCCUCUGACGUUAGCGGCGGACGGGUGAGUAACACGUGGAUAACCUACCUAUAAGACUGGGAUAACUUCGGGAAACCGGAGCUAAUACCGGAUAAUAUAUUGAACCGCAUGGUUCAAUAGUGAAAGACGGUUUUGCUGUCACUUAUAGAUGGAUCCGCGCCGCAUUAGCUAGUUGGUAAGGUAACGGCUUACCAAGGCAACGAUGCGUAGCCGACCUGAGAGGGUGAUCGGCCACACUGGAAAUGAGACACGGUCAAGACUCCUACGGGAGGAAGCAGUAGGGAAUCUUCCGCAAUGGGCGAAAGCUUGACGGAGCAACGCCGCGUGAGUGAUGAAGGUCUUCGAAUCGUAAAACUCUGUUAUUAGGGAAGAACAAAUGUGUAAGUAACUAUGCACGUCUUGACGGUACCUAAUCAGAAAGCCACGGCUAACUACGUG